GGUCGUGUGGCCUAACGGAUAAGGCGUAGGACUUCGGAUCCGAUGACUGCAGGUUCGAGUCCUGCUACGAUCA
This is a non-coding RNA of Daphnia pulex (common water flea), 73 nucleotides long. The record is from Rfam. NCBI's taxonomy places the organism in Eukaryota, Metazoa, Arthropoda, Branchiopoda, Diplostraca, Daphniidae.